Molecule: long non-coding RNA, 756 nt
Filed under: Homo sapiens (human)
Lineage: Eukaryota; Metazoa; Chordata; Mammalia; Primates; Hominidae
Description: HSALNT0170561
Source: RNAcentral
GCCCCACCUCACCCUCAGCCCCCCUGCACGGAGCCACUCGUGUCCUGGGUCCCUCUCGCCUCCACUCAGCAGCCUCAUGGCCUCCUGCGCCUCGUGCCCCUCCUGUCCUGAGGGUGCCUCUGGCCUCACUGCAUCCCACAUCCUCGGGGACAGCUGGCUGGUGUCAGCUGCAUGAAAGCGGAUGCAGUUUCCAGGCUGCUCAGGCCAGGUGGGAAGAUGCUAAGUCCUGCAGCCGCCUGGCCUGACUCGCCUUGAGCCGGCCUGCCCCAGGUUUUUUAUGAGCAGCUGCCGUCAUUACAGCUGGAAUUCUUCCAGAAGGUGUGAGAAUGCCAGAGCCAGGUGGCAGCAGUGACCUCUGGGCUUGAGCCCUUGGCCAGAAAGGGCAUAGCCCCUGGGCAGAGGACACCAGCUGCUUCCCACAAACGCUGAGGACCGACCCUGAAGGCAGGGACCUUCAGAGGGACACGGCCUGCUUCCACCCCAAGUCUCAAGUCCAGCGGCUGCCCGGGGCAGGGUCCAUGCACCUUGGGGAGUCUGCGUCCCUGCAGCCUCCGGGGCAGGACUGAGGCACCCGCUGAGGACACAGAAGCCGGCACCUGACCGGCUCCUCCAGCUCCAGCCCCAGAGGCUUCCGUGAUCAAUCACAAUAUGCAAAUCGCUCAUUUAUGAAAUCUCAUCACACCAGGGCAGCCUGAUUCAUUAUUCAACACUCCAGGACUCUGGAGGAAGACCCUCCCAGCCCACUGGCCGCUGUGC